AUUGAACGCUGGCGGCAGGCCUAACACAUGCCAGUCGAACGGUAACAGGAAGACGCUUGCUUCUUUGCGGACGAGUGGCGGACGGGUGAGUAAUGUCUGGGAAACUGCCUGAUGGAGGGGGAUAACUACUGGAAACGGUAGCUAAUACCGCAUAACGUCGCAAGACCAAAAAGGGGGACCUUCGGGCCUCUUGCCAGCGGAUGUGCCCAGAUGGGAUUAGCGUGUAGGUGGGGUAACGGCCCACCCAGGCGACGAUCCCUAGCCGGUCUGAGAGGAUGACCAGCCACACUGGAACUGGGACACGGUCCAGACUCCUACGGGAGGCAGCAGUGGGGAAUAUUGCACAAUGGGCGCAAGCCUGAUGCAGCCAUGCCGCGUGUAUGAAGAAGGCCUUCGGGUUGUAAAGUACUUUCAGCGGGGAGGAAGGGAGUAAAGUUAAUACCUUUCCUCAUUGACGUUACCCGCAGAAGAAGCACCGGCUAACUCCGUG
RNAcentral lists this ribosomal RNA (490 nucleotides) under uncultured bacterium. RNAcentral describes it as "partial 16S ribosomal RNA". It matches the Rfam family "Bacterial small subunit ribosomal RNA", at positions 30 to 507 of the family's 1533-position model. The record is from RNAcentral.